GGCUCAAUGGUCUAGUCGUAUGAUUCGCGCUUCGGGUGCGCGAGGCCCCGGGUUCAAUUCCCGGUUGAGCCC
This 72-nucleotide transfer RNA is filed under the name Fomitopsis schrenkii. RNAcentral's name for it is "tRNA-Pro (CGG) (tRNA-Pro-CGG-2-1)". It matches the Rfam family "tRNA". Rfam says of the family: Transfer RNA (tRNA) molecules are approximately 80 nucleotides in length. Their secondary structure includes four short double-helical elements and three loops (D, anti-codon, and T loops). The record is from RNAcentral. Lineage: Eukaryota; Fungi; Basidiomycota; Agaricomycetes; Polyporales; Fomitopsidaceae.